CGCUAGUAAAGUAUCUACCUUAGCGCCGCCUCGUGGCUUAUUUCUUAAAUAGUGAGAUCUGAAACCUUGAGUACCAUAUGUUAUAUAUAUACUAGUUAACCGGGCAAACGUUGUUUUGCCAUAUAAAUUAUUUCUAGUUUCUAGAUAAAUUUUAGUGUAGACAAAGAGUAACUUACUUAUUAUAAGUGUGUCAGUAUGAAAAAUUUAAUUAACUGAACUAAUUAUGCCAAAUACACUUAAAAUGAAUAAUUUUAUUAUUAUGAAUAAAAUAGUAAUCUAUAAUAUAAAAAUGAAUCGCAAAAGUGUUGUUAACCAUUGUAAACGUUACUUACUACACUUGAUACGUAUACCAUAAUGAUGGCCGAAAACUGUGUAGGGUGUGACAGAAGUCUUAUUGUGUGAGUGAAAAAGAAGACCGGCUUCAGUCUCAUUCCUUCAAGCGGAGUGAUGGAAAACCGUGGCAGCCUGGAAAAAAUUCCAGAAUUUGCAGUGCACAUUUUGUUGGGGGUGAAAAAUCUAACAAUCCACUCAAUGAAUCUUAUCACCCAACUAUAUUUCCUCUAAUAUACGUAAAAAAAAAGAAAUUCUAAUGCAGGUUUACGAGCUGAGAGAUUGCGAAAACGACGGGAAAGAAUUUCAUCUGCAAUAAUUAAUGCAGCUCCAGCAGAUGCUGCAGUUGAUGAAAUAGUUGUUUCUGAGAAACAUGAUAUUGGCAUACAAACAAAAAUAUUUUUUUGUCGACAUUUUUUUUAAAUGUUUAAUUAUUGAUAAUAUAUUCAAUAAUAAAGUGUAAACAUUA
Dalotia coriaria is the source of this 799-nucleotide long non-coding RNA. RefSeq lists it as uncharacterized. NCBI's taxonomy places the organism in Eukaryota, Metazoa, Arthropoda, Insecta, Coleoptera, Staphylinidae. The record is from RefSeq and is a predicted model, not a curated record. The transcript is spliced from 2 exons.